Molecule: transfer RNA, 69 nt
Filed under: Rattus norvegicus (Norway rat)
Lineage: Eukaryota; Metazoa; Chordata; Mammalia; Rodentia; Muridae
Rfam family: tRNA
About the family: Transfer RNA (tRNA) molecules are approximately 80 nucleotides in length. Their secondary structure includes four short double-helical elements and three loops (D, anti-codon, and T loops). Further hydrogen bonds mediate the characteristic L-shaped molecular structure. tRNAs have two regions of fundamental functional importance: the anti-codon, which is responsible for specific mRNA codon recognition, and the 3' end, to which the tRNAs corresponding amino acid is attached (by aminoacyl-tRNA synthetases). tRNAs cope with the degeneracy of the genetic code in two manners: having more than one tRNA (with a specific anti-codon) for a particular amino acid; and 'wobble' base-pairing, i.e. permitting non-standard base-pairing at the 3rd anti-codon position.
Source: Rfam by way of RNAcentral
GGGGAUUUAGCUCAGUGGUAGAGCGCUUGCCUAGCAAGUGGAAGGCCCUGGGUUCGGUCCCCAGCUCUG